AGUGAACGCUGGCGGUAGGCCUAACACAUGCAAGUCGAACGGCAGCACAGUAAGAGCUUGCUCUUACGGGUGGCGAGUGGCGGACGGGUGAGGAAUACAUCGGAAUCUACUUUUUCGUGGGGGAUAACGUAGGGAAACUUACGCUAAUACCGCAUACGACCUACGGGUGAAAGCAGGGGAUCUUCGGACCUUGCGCGAUUGAAUGAGCCGAUGUCGGAUUAGCUAGUUGGCGGGGUAAAGGCCCACCAAGGCGGCGAUCCGUAGCUGGUCCGAGAGGAAGGUCAGCCACAUGGGAAACUAGAAAACGUCCCGACCCCCGACGGGAGCCACAGGUGGGAAUUCUAGACAAGGGGGCGAAGGCGGAUCCCGGCCAACCGGCGUGGGGAAGAAGGCCCUUGGGUUGGUAAGCCCUUUUGUUGGGAAAGAAAAGCAGCAGGUUAAUACCCCGCGGUUCUGACGGUACCCGAAGAAUAAGCACCGGCUAACUUCGUG
RNAcentral lists this ribosomal RNA (492 nucleotides) under uncultured bacterium. Its description in RNAcentral is "partial 16S ribosomal RNA". It matches the Rfam family "Bacterial small subunit ribosomal RNA", at positions 29 to 507 of the family's 1533-position model. The record is from RNAcentral.